Molecule: ribosomal RNA, 571 nt
Filed under: Corynebacterium variabile
Lineage: Bacteria; Bacillati; Actinomycetota; Actinomycetes; Mycobacteriales; Corynebacteriaceae
Description: bacterial SSU rRNA
Rfam family: Bacterial small subunit ribosomal RNA
Source: RNAcentral
CGGAAAGGCCCUGCUUGCAGGGUACUCGAGUGGCGAACGGGUGAGUAACACGUGGGUGAUCUGCCCUGCACUUCGGGAUAAGCCUGGGAAACUGGGUCUAAUACCGGAUAGGACCAUCGUUUAGUGUCGGUGGUGGAAAGUUUUUCGGUGCAGGAUGAGCUCGCGGCCUAUCAGCUUGUUGGUGGGGUAAUGGCCUACCAAGGCGUCGACGGGUAGCCGGCCUGAGAGGGUGGACGGCCACAUUGGGACUGAGACACGGCCCAGACUCCUACGGGAGGCAGCAGUGGGGAAUAUUGCACAAUGGGCGCAAGCCUGAUGCAGCGACGCCGCGUGGGGGAUGAAGGCCUUCGGGUUGUAAACUCCUUUCAACCAUGACGAAGCAUUAUGUGACGGUAGUGGUAGAAGAAGCACCGGCUAACUACGUGCCAGCAGCCGCGGUAAUACGUAGGGUGCGAGCGUUGUCCGGAAUUACUGGGCGUAAAGAGCUCGUAGGUGGUUUGUCGCGUCGUCUGUGAAAUUCCGGGGCUUAACUCCGGGCGUGCAGGCGAUACGGGCAUAACUUGAGUGCUGU